UGGGGAAUAUUGCGCAAUGGGGGAAACCCUGACGCAGCGACGCCGUGUGAGGGAAGAAGGCUUUCGGGUCGUAAACCUCUGUCAGGAAGGAAGAACCUCUCAAGGCUGAACAAGCCUUGGGACUGACGGUACUUCCAGAGGAAGCACCGGCUAACUCCGUGCCAGCAGCCGCGGUAAUACGGAGGGUGCAAGCGUUAAUCGGAAUCACUGGGCGUAAAGCGCGCGUAGGCCGUCUUUUAAGUCGGACGUGAAAGCCCUCGGCUCAACCGGGGAACUGCGUUCGAUACUGGGAGACUUGAGUCCUGGAGAGGGUGGCGGAAUUCCUGGUGUAGGAGUGAAAUCCGUAGAUAUCCGGAGGAACACCGGUGGCGAAGGCGGCCACCUGGACAGGUACUGACGCUGAGGCGCGAAAGCGUGGGGAGCAAACA
This 428-nucleotide ribosomal RNA is filed under the name uncultured bacterium. Its description in RNAcentral is "bacterial SSU rRNA". It matches the Rfam family "Bacterial small subunit ribosomal RNA", at positions 355 to 774 of the family's 1533-position model. The record is from RNAcentral.